GGCCAAUAUUCAUCCACACACUGCGGCGGUGGGACAAAACAUCGCCACCGCAGUCUUCAUCCUACCCAACUGCCCAAUCACAACCGUUCUGCCUCUGACAAUUCCCAGUCCGAUUUCUUCUCCCUUAUGAAUUCAGAUGAAGAUGAGUCACCGAUUCCGUUUGUUUUCGGCAACCGAGAUUAUACGGAUGAUCUUCCUGAUGAAUGUUUGGCUUUGAUUUUUCAGUGCUUGAGUUCCGGUGACCGGAAAAAGUGUUCCCUUGUCUCCAGGAGAUGGCUUUUGGUGGAGGGUCAAAG
Molecule: unclassified non-coding RNA, 296 nt
Filed under: Hevea brasiliensis (rubber tree)
Lineage: Eukaryota; Viridiplantae; Streptophyta; Magnoliopsida; Malpighiales; Euphorbiaceae
Source: RNAcentral